ACACCGGCAGCUCAAGUGGUAGCCGCUUUUAUUGGGCCUAAAGCGUCCGUAGCCGGUCUGAUAAGUCUCUGGUGAAAUCCCGCAGCUUAACUGUGGGAAUUGCUGGAGAUACUAUCAUGACUCGAGGUCGGGAGAGGCUGGCGGUAAUCCCAGGGUCGGGGUGAAAUCCUGUAAUCCUGGGAGGACCACCUGUGGCGAAGGCGUCCAGCUGGAACGAACCUGACGGUGAGGGACGAAAGCCAGGGGCGCGAACCGGAUUAGAUACCCGGGUAGUCCUGGCCGUAAACGAUGUGGACUUGGUGUUGGGAUGGCUUCGAGCUGCCCCAGUGCCGAAGGGAAGCUGUUAAGUCCACCGCCUGGGAAGUACGGCCGCAAGGCUGAAACUUAAAGGAAUUGGCGGGG
Molecule: ribosomal RNA, 402 nt
Filed under: uncultured bacterium
Lineage: Bacteria
Description: partial 16S ribosomal RNA
Rfam family: Archaeal small subunit ribosomal RNA
Source: RNAcentral